CCUACGGGCGGCAGCAGUGGGGAAUAUUGCACAAUGGGGGGAACCCUGAUGCAGCGACGCCGCGUGAGUGAAGAAGUAUUUCGGUAUGUAAAGCUCUAUCAGCAGGGAAGAAAAUGACGGUACCUGACUAAGAAGCCCCGGCUAACUACGUGCCAGCAGCCGCGGUAAUACGUAGGGGGCAAGCGUUAUCCGGAUUUACUGGGUGUAAAGGGAGCGUAGACGGCAGAGCAAGUCUGAAGUGAAAGCCCGGGGCCCAACUGCGGGACUGCUUUGGAAACUGGCGGGCUAGAGUGCUGGAGAGGUAAGCGGAAUUCCUAGUGUAGCGGUGAAAUGCGUAGAUAUUAGGAGGAACACCAGUGGCGAAGGCGGCUUACUGGACAGUAACUGACGUUGAGGCUCGAAAGCGUGGGGAGCAAACAGGAUUAGAUACCCCAGUAGUC
RNAcentral lists this ribosomal RNA (440 nucleotides) under uncultured bacterium. Its description in RNAcentral is "partial 16S ribosomal RNA". It matches the Rfam family "Bacterial small subunit ribosomal RNA", at positions 338 to 795 of the family's 1533-position model. The record is from RNAcentral.